This 338-nucleotide ribosomal RNA is filed under the name uncultured Desulfobulbus sp. Its description in RNAcentral is "bacterial SSU rRNA". It matches the Rfam family "Bacterial small subunit ribosomal RNA", at positions 1045 to 1382 of the family's 1533-position model. Lineage: Bacteria; Pseudomonadati; Thermodesulfobacteriota; Desulfobulbia; Desulfobulbales; Desulfobulbaceae. The record is from RNAcentral.
AUGGCUGUCGUCAGCUCGUGUCGUGAGAUGUUGGGUUAAGUCCCGCAACGAGCGCAACCCUUGCCUUUAGUUGCCAGCAGUUCGGCUGGGCACUCUAAAGGGACUGCCGGUGUUAAACCGGAGGAAGGUGGGGAGUGACGUCAAGUCCUCAUGGCCUUUAUGACCAGGGCUACACACGUACUACAAUGGCCGAUACAAAGGGCAGCGACACUGCGAGGUGAAGCCAAUCCCGUAAAAUCGGUCUCAGUCCGGAUUGGAGUCUGCAACUCGACUCCAUGAAGUUGGAAUCGCUAGUAAUCGUGGAUCAGCGUGCCACGGUGAAUACGUUCCCGGGCCUU